RNAcentral lists this ribosomal RNA (372 nucleotides) under uncultured organism. RNAcentral describes it as "bacterial SSU rRNA". It matches the Rfam family "Bacterial small subunit ribosomal RNA", at positions 526 to 896 of the family's 1533-position model. The record is from RNAcentral.
CGGAGGGUGCGAGCGUUGUCCGGAAUCACUGGGCGUAAAGGGCGCGUAGGCGGCCUGAUAAGUAGGGGGUGAAAUCCUGCGGCUUAACCGCAGGGCUGCCUUCUAAACUGUCAGGCUAGAGCACGGUAGAGGCAGAUGGAAUUCCCGGUGUAGCGGUGGAAUGCGUAGAGAUCGGGAAGAACAUCAGUGGCGAAGGCGGUCUGCUGGGCCGUUGCUGACGCUGAGGCGCGACAGCGUGGGGAGCAAACAGGAUUAGAUACCCUGGUAGUCCACGCCGUAAACGAUGGACACUAGGCGUCGGGGGGAGCGACCCUCCCGGUGCCGUCGCUAACGCAGUAAGUGUCCCGCCUGGGGAGUACGGCCGCAAGGCUG